RNAcentral lists this ribosomal RNA (848 nucleotides) under Ligilactobacillus salivarius. RNAcentral describes it as "Lactobacillus salivarius partial 16S ribosomal RNA". It matches the Rfam family "Bacterial small subunit ribosomal RNA", at positions 78 to 882 of the family's 1533-position model. The record is from RNAcentral. Lineage: Bacteria; Bacillati; Bacillota; Bacilli; Lactobacillales; Lactobacillaceae.
GCUUGCUUCCCGUAANAANUUGAGUGGCGGACGGNUGAGUAACACGUGGGUAACCUGCCUAAAAGAAGGGGAUAACACUUGGAAACAGGUGCUAAUACCGUAUAUCUCUAAGGAUCGCAUGAUCCUUAGAUGAAAGAUGGUUCUGCUAUCGCUUUUAGAUGGACCCGCGGCGUAUUAACUAGUUGGUGGGGUAACGGCCUACCAAGGUGAUGAUACGUAGCCGAACUGAGAGGUUGAUCGGCCACAUUGGGACUGAGACACGGCCCAAACUCCUACGGGAGGCAGCAGUAGGGAAUCUUCCACAAUGGACGCAAGUCUGAUGGAGCAACGCCGCGUGAGUGAAGAAGGUCUUCGGAUCGUAAAACUCUGUUGUUAGAGAAGAACACGAGUGAGAGUAACUGUUCAUUCGAUGACGGUAUCUAACCAGCAAGUCACGGCUAACUACGUGCCAGCAGCCGCGGUAAUACGUAGGUGGGCAAGCGUUGUCCCGGAUUUAUUGGGCGUAAAGGGAACGCAGGGGGUCUUUUAAGUCUUGAUGUGAAAGCCUUCGGCUUAANCCGGAGUAGUGCAUUGGNAAACUGGAAAGACUUGGAGUGCAGAAAAAAGGAGAGUGGAACUCCCUUGGUGUAGCGGUGAAAUGCGUANAANUUUUUUGGAAANAACACCAGUGGCGAANGCGGCNUCUCUGGUCUGUACCUGGNACGCUNAGGGUUCNAAAAGCGUGGGUAGCAAACAGGAUUAGAAANACCCUGGUAGUCCACGCCGUAACANAAAAAGNUNANGNGNNUUNGNANGGUUUCCCCCCUUUCAGUGCCGCANCUNACGCAUAACAUUCCCCCUGGGGACAC